AGUGAACGCUGGCGGUAGGCCUAACACAUGCAAGUCGAACGGCAGCACAGUAAGAGCUUGCUCUUACGGGUGGCGAGUGGCGGACGGGUGAGGAAUACAUCGGAAUCUACUUUUUCGUGGGGGAUAACGUAGGGAAACUUACGCUAAUACCGCAUACGACCUACGGGUGAAAGCAGGGGAUCUUCGGACCUUGCGCGAUUGAAUGAGCCGAUGUCGGAUUAGCUAGUUGGCGGGGUAAAGGCCCACCAAGGCGACGAUCCGUAGCUGGUCUGAGAGGAUGGUCAGCCACACUGGAACUGAGACACGGUCCAGACGCCUACGGGAGGCAGCAGUGGGGUAUAUUGGACAAUGGGCGCAAGCCUGAUCCAGCCAGACCGCGUGGGUGAAGAAGGCCUUCGGGUUGUAAAGCCCUUUUGUUGGGAAAGAAAAGCAGCAGGUUAAUACGCCGCUGUUCUGACGGUACCCAAAGAAUAAGCACCGGCUAACUUCGUG
This 492-nucleotide ribosomal RNA is filed under the name uncultured bacterium. Its description in RNAcentral is "partial 16S ribosomal RNA". It matches the Rfam family "Bacterial small subunit ribosomal RNA", at positions 29 to 507 of the family's 1533-position model. The record is from RNAcentral.